GCCGGGUUACCAUAGCCUGGUAGGGGGCAGGCCUGCUGAGCCUGUGGCCCACGUGGCCUCGCGGGUUCAAAUCCCGCACCCGGCGCCA
RNAcentral lists this transfer RNA (88 nucleotides) under Candidatus Bathyarchaeota archaeon. RNAcentral describes it as "tRNA-Ser". It matches the Rfam family "tRNA". From Rfam's summary of the family: Transfer RNA (tRNA) molecules are approximately 80 nucleotides in length. The record is from RNAcentral. RNAcentral also lists the same sequence under 1 other name. Lineage: Archaea; Thermoproteati; Candidatus Bathyarchaeota.